Non-coding RNA from Trichonephila clavipes, 84 nucleotides. Lineage: Eukaryota; Metazoa; Arthropoda; Arachnida; Araneae; Nephilidae. The record is from the annotation of a GenBank genome assembly.
GUCAGGAUGGCCGAUCGUUCUAAGGCGCUGCGUUCAGGUCUUAGUCCACUUGUGUGGGCUUGGGUUUGAAUCCCACUUAUGACA